RNAcentral lists this long non-coding RNA (375 nucleotides) under Nicotiana tabacum (common tobacco). RNAcentral describes it as "long non-coding RNA (NTAB_LNC016243)". The record is from RNAcentral. Lineage: Eukaryota; Viridiplantae; Streptophyta; Magnoliopsida; Solanales; Solanaceae.
CCAGUUCCAGUGAUUGGAAUUGUGGCCAAGUGUACCAAGAACACAGCAAAUCCAAUAGGCAAUGGUGCCAAAAUCUAAAUUAAAACAUAACCCAAUUUCAACUAUCAGUUUUAAGGCCACAAUUAAUUACCCACAAAACCUACUACUUUCUUUUACUGAAUUAAGGCUAUGAAUACUUACAGGGACAUGUGAAUCCCUAGCACUACGCUUAGCAUCAGUGGCAGAGAAAACAGUGUAAACAAGGACGAAAGUACCAACGAUCUCAGCACCAAGACCUGAUCCCUUUGUGUAACCAAGAUUUACAACAUUGGCACCACCACCCUUUGUUUGAUAAAGAGUUUUGCCAAACCCUUUGACCACACCAGCACCACAGAU